This 468-nucleotide ribosomal RNA is filed under the name uncultured bacterium. Its description in RNAcentral is "partial 16S ribosomal RNA". It matches the Rfam family "Bacterial small subunit ribosomal RNA", at positions 28 to 507 of the family's 1533-position model. The record is from RNAcentral.
GAUGAACGCUGGCGGCGUGCUUAACACAUGCAAGUCGAACGGAAAGGCCCAAGCUUGCUUGGGUACUCGAGUGGCGAACGGGUGAGUAACACGUGGGUGAUCUGCCCUGCACUUCGGGAUAAGCCUGGGAAACUGGGUCUAAUACCGGAUAGGACGAUGGUUUGGAUGCCAUUGUGGAAAGUUUUUUCGGUGUGGGAUGAGCUCGCGGCCUAUCAGCUUGUUGGUGGGGUAAUGGCCUACCAAGGCGUCGACGGGUAGCCGGCCUGAGAGGGUGUACGGCCACAUUGGGACUGAGAUACGGCCCAGACUCCUACGGGAGGCAGCAGGGGGGAAUAUUGCACAAUGGGCGCAGGCCUGAUGCAGCGACGCCGCGUGGGGGAUGACGGCCUUCGGGUUGUAAACUCCUUUCGCUAGGGACGAAGCGUUUUUGUGACGGUACCUGGAGAAGAAGCACCGGCUAACUACGUG